Molecule: long non-coding RNA, 3602 nt
Organism: Melospiza georgiana
Lineage: Eukaryota; Metazoa; Chordata; Aves; Passeriformes; Passerellidae
Exons: 2
Source: RefSeq, a predicted model, not a curated record
CAGCAGGGAAAAACCACUCAGUGCAUGGGUACCCAGUGCUGUGCUCUUGGUGGUUUCUGAGGUUUCAUCUCCUGGGAAGGGCUGCCUGGGAGUUUGUUGCUCUUCUGUUUAUGAGAGACAAGGGUAAAACAAUGAGAAAAGGGUAAAACAAUGAGACAAGGGUAAAGCAAUGAGAAAAGGGUAAAGCAAUGAGAAAAGGGUAAAACAAUGAGACAAUGGGUAAAACAGUGAGACAAGGGUAAAACAAUGAGACAACAGCAAAACAAUGAGACAAUGGUAAAACAAUGAGAAAAGGGUAAAACAAUGAGACAAGGGUAAAACAGUGAGACAAUGGGUAAAACAAUGAGACAAGGGUAAAACAAUGAGACAGGCAAAACAAUGAGACAAGGGUAAAACAAUGAGACAAUGGUUAAAAGAGUGAGACAUCUGCCACCAGGAAUAGCCUCACAGAGCUGUCACCUCCACAUCAUGGCCUGAGCUUGUUGCUCAAGAGGAGCUGAGCCAAACUGGCCAGAGGAUGGGAUGUGUCUCUGUGCUGUCCCUGUCCCCUGUGUGUCCCCAGGGGGAGCAGGGACUGUGUGCACCCCCUGGGCACGGGGAUCUGAGGGAUCUGAGGUGUGUGUGCACAGUCCUGCAGCUGUGUCCUGGCCAGGAGCCACACCCUGCAGGGAGGCUGUGGGGACAGAGGGGACAAUGCCCCCGUGUCCAGCCUGUGGCUGCUCCUUCCCUCGCAGUGAGGGACUCCUCUGCCCCAUCCUGGCUGUUUCCCUGGGAUCCCUCCCUUGGCAGCCCUGCUGGGGGCACAGGGAUCCCAGUGCCUUGUGCUGGGCAGGGAGCACAGCACUGCUGCUGCCUCGGGCUCCCUGUUCCCCUGGGAUAACUGGGAUAACCCAGCCCCAUCUCCCUGAGCUGGGGUUCCACAGGGGGAUGGAGCUGGGGGAGCUCACAGACUGGGCUGAGAUCUCCCACACCCUGGAGACCCCCUUCUGGUCAAACUGAGGGGAGAGGUUGUGGUUGUGCUCACAACCUCAUGGACCAAGCCCAAGCCAAAGCUGCUGCCUCCUGACUUCUGACCACUGAAGCCAUUCCACUGCCCCCCUGAGGGUUCCCACCAUUUUUUGGAAGGAUGAUUUUAUGCUCAGAACUCGAUUCUGUUCCUGCUUUCACCAGGGACUCGUUCUCAGCUUCAGAACUGCUCUGAUAACUCUGCAAUUGCAUUGACAGUUCCAGAGGGGAGCACAGUCCCUUCACACAACAGAUGGAGACACAUUUGCAGGACCAUUCAACUUUGCUGUAACUCCCUGUUUUUUAGAACAAUUCCUUCUGCUGUAACGGGGAGAGCAAAAUUUGGCCAGUGCUCUUGAAAAACCUGCAAUCCUAAACUUGGAUAAAAUCAGCCUGGAAUCCAAGUCCUCCCAGAUCCAAAAUGCCUUCCACACCUGCUGGCUUCAGUGGCACUGGGGAUUUUGGCAGCUUGCACAGCAGCAGCAGCAGCAGCAAUUUCAGAAUAUUUUUGCGUGUGUCAAUCUGCGCUUGCACGUGCCUGCAAUGCAUGGCUCCAGCAAUCCCUGGGAAAUCUCCCCCUUCCCAGGAAAAUCCCAGCUCCAGCUUCUCCCAUGUGGCCAUCUGUGCUGAGCAGGGAGUUGGGGGAGAGGGAGAAAGCUGCUGCUUUAAAGCACUUGGUUCCAGAGGUGAAACAGAAUUUAGGAGAGGUGAAAAUCACCUUGGGAAACUCGCGGCAUAUCCAAGCAUUCCCAUGCAGAUCCACCUUUUUUAUUUUUUUCCUGCUGGGAAAAUGAAGCAGACUGGCAAUUCCUGGCCUCCACCCCUGCAGAUGUUUGGCUGUUGAUGGAACUUUGAGCCCUGGAAUCACAGGAAUGAAACCCCAAGAGGUUGUGAGCUCAGAGCUGAGCAGUGGCAGCACCUCACUGCCAGGGCUGCUGCUCUCCUGCCUCACUCAUCCACGCCCUACCUGGCCAGAUUUUGGGGAGGAAGAGCCUCAAAGUGAGCAAAUCAAACCUGUGAUGCUGGCCCUGAGAAUUCCUGGUUUAUCAGGAGCCUGAAGUUUUGCAGCUAUUCCUCAUUGCAGUAGAGAGGAAUUGGGCGAGACUCCUGUAUCCAAAGCUUUCAGAGCUGUUCUGGAGCUGUGGAAAAGCAAGAACUGGGAUGCAGGGCAGCUCUCUGCAGAAAUCUAGGAGGGAAAAACACCAGGCAAAGUAUUUUCCUUACAGGGGCAUCCUUAAUACCUGGAAAAUUGAAAGGCUAAAUACUGGAAAAGAUGGUUUAAGAGAGAAGCUAAUUCAGGGCUCCUUUUUGCUGCUUUGUUUUCAUGUGUUGGUUUUGGGGUGAGGAAAGCAAACAGAGAGCAAACAGCCAGUGUGUCAAAUUUGGAUCAAAUCAAACUUUUUGUUCCUACAAUAACUGCUGGCGGAGAUUUUUCAAAUGUAUCAAGGGCAACAAAACCAGCCUUAAUUAACUGAGACAUUAAUGCUCCUUGCUUCUGAGCCUGCUUUUGUGUUCUCCUCUCUGUGUGAUCGUGGCAUGGAAUCCUGUCUUAACAAAAGCCACUUCCCAGCAGCCCAGAGGAUGCUCAGGAGCAGGGAUGGGGUAGGAGAAUCUCCCUGUGAGUGAGAUUCAGUGCUAAACCCCUGCUUUGCUAAAACCCUGCAAGAUAGGCAAAUCCUCACAAUUCCCAAGGUUGAAUUCCCAUGCUCUCCUGCCUCGAAAUGCCUUUAAAAACCCCAGGCUGUGUGUGCUUUGUGAGCAGUGUGCAGCUUUUCCAGAGUGCACACACAAUUCCCCAGGCAGAGGAUGAGGCAGAGCACGGUGACUUUCAGCCAGGACUCGUCACUUUUUUCCAUUGCACAGAGUUAAAAACACCACUUCUGCCAGCUGCCCGGGGAAUUUGAUGUUCAGUGCCAAUUAAUUUUUGUAAUAGGAGCAGGGAUUUAUCCCCUUGGCUCCCCCAGGCACCUUCAGUCUCAUACUCAAAGGCUGGGUUGGAGUCUUUCAUUUUCCAGUGGCCUUUUCCUGAAGAGCAGCGGUGCCACGGUGAGGACGGGGACUGGGCUGGGGAAGGUGGCAGCUUUGGGGCAGGCAACUCCCAAAUUUUCCAUUGUAAACCCUUCAGAUGUGGGUUCUGCAAGCCCUGGCUGCUCCCUGCUCCCCUCACACCCUCAGGUCACUGUGCCUUCAUCCGCUCGAGGAAACCAUGCCAAGAUCUGAGCCUGGCACUCUCACUUUGCAUCCCAUCCCCAGGUGUGUGUGGGGCAGGGGGAGCUCCCUGUGUAGCUGCUUUUUGUGUGAUCCCAGGGUAGGUUUGUGCAGGGGUGGGGUGACCUGAGCUGUGUGUGAUCCUACCAGUGCUUUAAGCAGCCAGAAACGUGGUUCUUCCCCUACCUCCAAGCUCUCAAUGCUGCUAAAAAUCUCUGCCAUUCGUCCCCCGUGCUCCAGCCCCUCUCUCAGACUGGCUCUGGCUCUGUUUGCAAGAUAUCCACGUUGUUCUGAAGCAUGCACCUCUCUCUGUAUAGUCCCAAUCUUCUGAUUUUAUGGAAUACUUAUGCCUGUUUGCAUUACGGUCCAAAUAAAAAAGUGAACUAAAA